GACGAACGCUGGCGGCGUGCUUAACACAUGCAAGUCGAACGGCAAGGCCCUGCUUUUGUGGGGUGCUCGAGUGGCGAACGGGUGAGUAACACGUGAGUAACCUGCCCUUGACUUUGGGAUAACUUCAGGAAACUGGGGCUAAUACCGGAUAGGAGCUCCUGCUGCAUGGUGGGGGUUGGAAAGUUUCGGCGGUUGGGGAUGGACUCGCGGCUUAUCAGCUUGUUGGUGGGGUAGUGGCUUACCAAGGCUUUGACGGGUAGCCGGCCUGAGAGGGUGAACGGCCACAUUGGGACUGAGAUACGGCCCAGACUCCUACGGGAGGCAGCAGUGGGGAAUAUUGCACAAUGGGCGGAAGCCUGAGGCAGCAACGCCGCGUGCGGGAUGACGGCCUUCGGGUUGUAAACCGCUUUCGCCUGUGACGAAGCGUGAGUGACGGUAAUGGGUAAAGAAGCACCGGCUAACUACGUG
RNAcentral lists this ribosomal RNA (468 nucleotides) under uncultured bacterium. RNAcentral describes it as "partial 16S ribosomal RNA". It matches the Rfam family "Bacterial small subunit ribosomal RNA", at positions 28 to 507 of the family's 1533-position model. The record is from RNAcentral.